CUUUUUUUUUCUCUCUCUCUCUUUCUCUUUCUCUCUUCGAGCGGAGACGUGCAGUAGAGUUGCAGGCUGGCGGCGUGGAAGGGAAGGGAAGGGAAGAGAGGAGGAGGAGGAAGGAGCUGGAGAGGAAGGAGAUCCUCGUCCGGCGUUCGAG
Apis dorsata (giant honeybee) is the source of this 151-nucleotide long non-coding RNA. RefSeq lists it as uncharacterized. The record is from RefSeq and is a predicted model, not a curated record. The transcript is spliced from 2 exons. Lineage: Eukaryota; Metazoa; Arthropoda; Insecta; Hymenoptera; Apidae.